RNAcentral lists this ribosomal RNA (253 nucleotides) under uncultured bacterium. Its description in RNAcentral is "partial 16S ribosomal RNA". It matches the Rfam family "Bacterial small subunit ribosomal RNA", at positions 524 to 776 of the family's 1533-position model. The record is from RNAcentral.
UACGUAUGGAGCAAGCGCUAUCCGGAUUUACUGGGUGUAAAGGGAGCGCAGGCGGCUUUGCAAGUCUGAUGUGAAAGGCCGGGGCUCAACCCCGGGACUGCAUUGGAAACUGUAAAGCUAGAGUGCCGGAGAGGUAAGCGGAAUUCCUAGUGUAGCGGUGAAAUGCGUAGAUAUUAGGAGGAACACCAGUGGCGAAGGCGGCUUACUGGACGGCAACUGACGCUGAGGCUCGAAAGCGUGGGGAGCAAACAGG